This is a long non-coding RNA of Cyprinus carpio carpio, 1318 nucleotides long. The record is from Ensembl. Lineage: Eukaryota; Metazoa; Chordata; Actinopteri; Cypriniformes; Cyprinidae.
AAAAACUUUCUGCCUUGGGCUAUAUGCCCAUAUUAUUUAUCAGCCAGAGGCACAAGGGCACAGGCAAGUUGAUGGCAGAUGUAGUCACGCAUCUGCCACCGACGCUAAAAACAACACACGUUUCUUAACCAGCAUGAAGAGGGCAUAUGACUUCAUAAUCAAACUGGAUGGUAAGAUAAGUUUUAUGUAUAGUUCAUUAGUGGUUGUCGUUGAUUUCUUUGACAAUGUGUACUGAAUUUAUAUUUUUGCUAACUUCACAACAGAUGUGCCCCAGCCCCAGCCCCAGCAAGACCAGCCCCUCCACCUAGACCAACCCCUACCCCAAGACCAGCUCCUGCCCCUAGACCAGCUAAUCCCACAAAAACCAGCCCGUAGACCAGCCCCAGCAAGACCAGCCCCUGCCCCUAGACCAGCCCCAGCAAGACCAGCCCCUGCCCCUAGACCAGCUAAUCCCACAAGAUCAGCCCCUAGACCAGCCCCAGCAAGACCAGCCCCUGCCCCUAGACCAGCUAAUCCCACAAGACCAGCCUACCCCAACAGACCAGCAAAUUAUUAAACUUGAACUAUUUACGAUCGACUCACAGGCUCAGCAGCAUGUGGAGCCUCUACCACCCAGGAAAAGACAAACCCCACUAUCCACCCCGGGCCUACCAUCCACCCCAGGCCAAGGCAAACGAGCCCCACCAUCCAUCCAACCUCAACUAAAGAAAAGACAAACCACAGGUAAAGGAGCCACACAAGCCCCACCCUCUACCCUGGCCAAAAAGAAGAAAACAAAAAGUUGCAAAUGCAGUCGACAGACAAUUUAUCCAUACGAUAAAAUAUUGGAAAGACGGAUGAAUGGGGGGAAGGCAGCAGAGGUCAAAGUGCACUGGCUACCUUGCUCUUCCUGUGGCAGAGUCUGGGAGGACACCUGGGAGCCGGCCAGCAAAUUCGCCUGAUGACCAAUACUGUUGUACUAUUUGUUUUGUAUAUAUUUGUCAAUAAUUAAAUUCACUAUUGUUACAUUUUAUGAUUUGUCUGUCAAUCAAUGACUGCACUGAAUAAUUAAUGUGUCAUGACUUUGUGCUGUAUUUGGAAAAGUUAAAUAGCUGAAAGUUGCAUGUAGUGACAGUCAAGUCAAGUCACCUUUAUUUAUAUAGCACUUUUUAUAAUACAGAUUGUUUCAAAGCAGCUUCACAGUGAUAACAUGAAAAUAAUACAACAAAGUUUCUUUCUAGAAGAAAAUUAAAUCCUCGUCCACCUUAAGGCAGAUUAGCAAGCCAAACUAAGCAACUAAGCAAGCCAAAACCCAAGGCAACCAGAACAAGUACCAAAU